AUUUCAGUGCUCGGUGCUGAUAAGCUUCUGGCGGGUUCGUCAUGCAUGGCAUAAAAACUUGGUAAAGAAAUGUUUGGACGAUGAGAUGCGAGCUACAAUAUCGAGAAGGCUUCAUCAGGCAGUAGAUGACAUAUGUCAACGACGAGGAACAGAUGGUACUGCAGAUUUAGAAUUUGGGAGGUUUUGGUGUGAAACUAGGAACAUUGCGAGAAGAUGGUUCAUGGUUGUUCUUUAUAUUUGAGAAGUGCAAAAGUUUUUCCAUGUAAAUGUUGUUCAUUGCUUUUUGAUGCCUGUUUUGGUCCUUAUUUAUAGUUUACACAUUUUUGUUAAAUUGUACUUGGUUUGCUCUGUGGUGUGUUUUCAGGUUUGGUGUUUGAUGUUCUUCAUUUAAUUUUUUUCCAUUGUUUCUUGCUUUCAAGUCAAACUAAUUUUCUUUGUUCUAGGUGAUUAAAGCUUUGUUAUUUUCAUUUAUUUUGUGCUGCUAUAUCUUUGUGUUCUCUGUGUUUAAUUGUCUGGCUUUCUUUGUUUGGUUUUUCUUGUUCUGGGGAGCAGUGAGGUGUGUAGAGAGUAAAGCUAUAGAAUGGUGUGAGUUUCGAUUUGGGUGCUAGAAGAAGAAGAAGAAAGAGAUGAAUGAAGGAGAAUGGGAGUAAGGGCUCCCCGGUCUAACAACACAGCCAAAGCUAAAGCAAUAGCACUAAGGAUGAAGGCACUGCAAAUGAAAAGAGGUAAAAAAAAAAAACAGUGUCGAAACCAGCUGUUGAAGAGACUGAUGCACCACCUAAAUCUGCCUUCACCAAACAUGAUUAAUAGUAUGAGAUAUCAGUGUUUUUUGGGUUUCAUUUGUUGAUCAUGCCAACUGUGGUGGGUUAUUGAACUGAUGUUUAUUAAGUUUAGCUCCAUUAUGGAUGUAUGUAUAGCUGCA
Rosa rugosa (rugosa rose) is the source of this 922-nucleotide long non-coding RNA. RefSeq lists it as uncharacterized. The record is from RefSeq and is a predicted model, not a curated record. The transcript is spliced from 3 exons. Lineage: Eukaryota; Viridiplantae; Streptophyta; Magnoliopsida; Rosales; Rosaceae.